GAUGAACGCUGGCGGCGUGCUUAACACAUGCAAGUCGAACGGAAAGGCCCAAGCUUGCUUGGGUACUCGAGUGGCGAACGGGUGAGUAACACGUGGGUGAUCUGCCCUGCACUUCGGGAUAAGCCUGGGAAGCUGGGUCUAAUACCGGAUAGGACCACAUUUUGGAUGGUGUGGUGGAAAGUUUUUCGGUGUGGGAUGAGCUCGCGGCCUAUCAGCUUGUUGGUGGGGUAAUGGCCUACCAAGGCGUCGACGGGUAGCCGGCCUGAGAGGGUGUACGGCCACAUUGGGACUGAGAUACGGCCCAGACUCCUACGGGAGGCAGCAGUGGGGAAUAUUGCACAAUGGGCGCAAACCUGAUGCAGCGACGCCGCGUGGGGGAUGACGGCCUUCGGGUUGUAAACUCCUUUCGCUAGGGACGAAGCGUUAUGUGACGGUACCUGGAGAAGAAGCACCGGCUAACUACGUG
RNAcentral lists this ribosomal RNA (466 nucleotides) under uncultured bacterium. Its description in RNAcentral is "partial 16S ribosomal RNA". It matches the Rfam family "Bacterial small subunit ribosomal RNA", at positions 28 to 507 of the family's 1533-position model. The record is from RNAcentral.